This 403-nucleotide ribosomal RNA is filed under the name Fusobacteriota bacterium. RNAcentral's name for it is "Fusobacteria bacterium partial 16S ribosomal RNA". It matches the Rfam family "Bacterial small subunit ribosomal RNA", at positions 355 to 776 of the family's 1533-position model. The record is from RNAcentral. Lineage: Bacteria; Fusobacteriati; Fusobacteriota.
UGGGGAAUAUUGCACAAUGGCGGGAACUCUGAUGCAGCGACGACGCGUGAACGAAGAAGGCUUUCGAGUCGUAAAGUUCUUUUAUAUGGGAAGAUAAUGACGGUACCAUAAGAAAAAGCCCCGGCUAACUACGUGCCAGCAGCCGCGGUAAUACGUAGGGGGCUAGCGUUGUCCGGAAUCACUGGGCGUAAAGGGUUCGCAGGCGGAAAUGCAAGUCAGGUGUAAAAGGCAGUAGCUUAACUACUGUAAGCAUUUGAAACUGCAUAUCUUGAGAAGAGUAGAGGUAAGUUGAAUUUUUAGUGUAGCGGUGAAAUGCGUAGAUAUUAAAAAGAAUACCGGUGGCGAAGGCGUCUUACUGGGCUAAUUCUGACGCUGAGUAACGAAAGCGUGCUUAGCAAACAGG